GGAUGUGUAGAUUGGGCUUCCCCUUCAGCCUGGGUCCUGGCGUGAAGGUGCUGUGAAGCAGAGCUAAUGCUAGCCUGGGAAAGCCAUGAAAGAUGAACAAGAACUCCGGGUUCAGUUUUGUAAGCCAAUGAGAUUUUUGCAUCAGUGUUCCCACUACAUGGCUUGCCUGAAUUGAUUAAGGCAAUUCUUAGAACACUAAGUGGAGACCUGCUAUGGAAAAAAACAAAACAAACAAAACACGUGGCAUUAGCUUUAAGGUGAUGCUGGAGGCUGGGAUGGUGCAUGAACAGAAUUCUGAAUUAGGCUGGGGUCUCAGAAGCUUGCCACAUGAUGAGAGCAGGCUGAGAGGUCUGUGACAAGAAGAACUGCUGUGAGAGCCAGCAUCAUUUGUAGUAGCCGCGACAUGGAAGCCACCUAAGG
This is a non-coding RNA of Sus scrofa (pig), 420 nucleotides long. The record is from RefSeq and is a predicted model, not a curated record. Lineage: Eukaryota; Metazoa; Chordata; Mammalia; Artiodactyla; Suidae.